This 983-nucleotide ribosomal RNA is filed under the name Paragorgia arborea (bubblegum coral). RNAcentral's name for it is "partial large subunit ribosomal RNA". It matches the Rfam family "Eukaryotic large subunit ribosomal RNA", at positions 69 to 850 of the family's 3401-position model. Lineage: Eukaryota; Metazoa; Cnidaria; Anthozoa; Scleralcyonacea; Coralliidae. The record is from RNAcentral.
CCAGGAUUUCCUCAGUAAUGGCGAAUGAAGAGGAAUCGGCUCAAAUUUGUAAUCGCCGUUGAUUGCAACGGCGAAUUGUAGUCUCGAGAAGUACUACUCUCCUGGCAAAUCGACUUUGUCUAAGUUGCUUGGAACAGCACGUCGUAGAGGGUGACAACCCCGUACGUGGCAAGGUUCGAAUGCCGACGAGGUUCUUUCGAAGAGUCGGGUUGUUUGGGAAUGCAGCCCUAAAUUGGUGGUAAACUCCAUCUAAAGCUAAAUACCGGCACGAGACCGAUAGCGAACAAGUACCGUGAGGGAAAGAUGAAAAGAACUUUGAAAAGAGAGUUAAAGAGUACGUGAAACCGUUAAAAGGGAAGCGAAUGAAACCAGCAAUUCGCCUUGCCAGAUUCAGUCGCCUGCGCUCGAUCACGUGCUUGUUCGCGAUUUUUUCAGACGCGACUCGUACAGUUGGCCGAGCGAAGGCUGCGCACUUCUGGUAGGUGAGUGUCAGCAUCAGAUGGUCACGGGUUAGAAAGUUGCGAUGAAGGUAGAUCCUUACGGAUUGUUCAGCGUCGCAAACAAAUCACCCGAGGCUGCCUGUGGUCUAUCGCAAUGCGUGCCUUCCGUGGGUUGGCUGGUGUCCUGUUCUGUUGAUGCGGUUGUCGACUGCGGCGGACGGCUAUGCCAGUGCGUCCAAACCGCUUCCCGUCUCCAGAUCGGGGUGCACACACCACGCGUUGACGAUGCUGACGAAAAUACGGUUUCAUCCGACCCGUCUUGAAACACGGACCAAGGAGUCUAACAUGUGCGCGAGUCUGUGGGUGAUCGAAACCCGGUGGCGAAAUGAAAGUGAAGGGAACUUUUUGGUUGCUGAGGUGAGAAGCCCGGCCGUCGUGGCCAAGCCGCAUCAUCGACCGACCUGUUCUAAUCCUAGAAAGGUUUGAGUAAGAGCGUAGCUGUUGGGACCCGAAAGAUGGUGAACUAUGCCUGAAUAGAGUGAA